RNAcentral lists this ribosomal RNA (95 nucleotides) under uncultured bacterium. RNAcentral describes it as "partial 16S ribosomal RNA". It matches the Rfam family "Bacterial small subunit ribosomal RNA", at positions 1388 to 1482 of the family's 1533-position model. The record is from RNAcentral.
CACCGCCCGUCACACCAUGGGAGUCGUUUGCUCCAGAAGAGGCUGCGCCAACCGCAAGGAGGCAGGUCUCCAAGGAGUGCACGGUAACUGGGGUG